Leopardus geoffroyi (Geoffroy's cat) is the source of this 656-nucleotide long non-coding RNA. RefSeq lists it as uncharacterized. The transcript is spliced from 2 exons. The record is from RefSeq and is a predicted model, not a curated record. NCBI's taxonomy places the organism in Eukaryota, Metazoa, Chordata, Mammalia, Carnivora, Felidae.
GUUGUCCUGCUCUCCUCGGGCCCUCUCUGGAGCUGGGGGCGUCAGGCAGUACUUGGUCUGGGGAAGGCCAGGACUAGCAGUUCCGAGCCCCUCUCCCGUGACUUCCUCCCUUGCCUCCUUGGCUGCCCAAAGCAGCACUAAAUCAGGUCACCACUUGUCUUGCCUCGCAGUAGCUGUCGUGCAGACAGCUCCUGCCCAGCUCCCAAUCCAGGUCACUGGCUCCCACACCCCUCCCUUCCCCAGCAGCCAAGGAGACGGCGCUCAGUGCUUUUGUUCUUAAGUGCUGCUCAUUAGACUCUGGCUGUGUGCCUGACACUGGGCCCAUCGCUUUAAGAAGAAAUAACAGGCCCCCUUUGCAGCACGCUCUAUCACGAGAUUCUCUCUUCCGUAGGGAGAUAGGAGCACUUCUAUUUUAUAAGUGAAGAAACUGAGGCUGAGAAAGCCUUCCAGCAAACCCACUGCUGCUCCCGCUGUUGCUUCUGGAAGACUGUCCUUAAAGAAAGGAAAGAACCAGAAGGAACUUCAAAGGCCUUCGCAUCCACCUGUUACCACUUCCAUGGGCUGAGCUAGACCCCUCUGGCCACGGCUAUGGAAGAGUCAAGGACAGCUGGAAUCCACCCAACUUUUACCAAUAAUUCACCACCGUGAGACCUUGA